Molecule: ribosomal RNA, 300 nt
Filed under: uncultured Hydrogenivirga sp.
Lineage: Bacteria; Pseudomonadati; Aquificota; Aquificia; Aquificales; Aquificaceae
Description: partial 16S ribosomal RNA
Rfam family: Bacterial small subunit ribosomal RNA (bases 52-300)
Source: RNAcentral
GGGAGCGUGGGGGCAGGAGCGGCGGGAGUGCGGGGGGUGCGAGCGUGGUGCGGAAUGACCGGGCGGAAAGGGGGGGGAGGGGGGGCCGCAAGUCGGGGGUGAAAGCUGGACGCUUAACGGCGAGUGGGCCAUCGAAACUGCGGGGCUGGAGCACUGUAGGGGCAGAUGGAAUUCCGGGUGUAGCGGUGGAAUGCGUAGAGAUCCGGAAGAACACCGGUGGCGAAGGCGGUCUGCUGGGCAGUUGCUGACACUGAUGCGCGACAGCGUGGGGAGCAAACAGGAUUAGAUACCCCAGUAGUC